CCUACGGGUGGCUGCAGUGAGGAAUAUUGGUCAAUGGGCUUACGCCUGAACCAGCCAAGUCGCGUGAAGGAAGAAGUAUUUCGGUAUGUAAACUUCUAUCAGCAGGGAAGAAAAUGACGGUACCUGACUAAGAAGCCCCGGCUAACUACGUGCCAGCAGCCGCGGUAAUACGUAUGGGGCAAGCGUUAUCCGGAUUUACUGGGUGUAAAGGGAGCGUAGGCGGUUUAGCAAGUCAGAAGUGAAAGCCCGGGGCUCAACUCCGGGACUGCUUUUGAAACUGUUGAACUAGAUUGCAGGAGAGGUAAGUGGAAUUCCUAGUGUAGCGGUGAAAUGCGUAGAUAUUAGGAGGAACACCAGUGGCGAAGGCGGCUUACUGGACUGUAAAUGACGCUGAGGCUCGAAAGCGUGGGGAGCAAACAGGAUUAGAUACCCCAGUAGUC
This 440-nucleotide ribosomal RNA is filed under the name uncultured bacterium. Its description in RNAcentral is "partial 16S ribosomal RNA". It matches the Rfam family "Bacterial small subunit ribosomal RNA", at positions 338 to 795 of the family's 1533-position model. The record is from RNAcentral.